GUGCCAGCAGCCGCGGUAAUACGUAGGUGGCAAGCGUUGUCCGGAAUUACUGGGCGUAAAGGGAGCGUAGGCGGCUAUUUAAGUGAGAUGUGAAAUACCCGGGCUCAACUUGGGAAUUGCAUUUCAUACUGGGUAGCUAGAGUGCAGGAGAGGAAAGUGGAAUUCCAAGUGUAGCGGUGAAAUGCGUAGAGAUUUGGAGGAACACCAGUGGCGAAGGCGACUUUCUGGACUGUAACUGACGCUGAGGCUCGAGAGCGUGGGGAGCAAACAGGAUUAGAUACCCUGGUAGUCCACGCUGUAAACGAUGAAUACUAGGUGUAGGGGGCGAAGCCCUCUGUGCCGCAGUUAACACAUUAAGUAUUCCGCCUGGGGAGUACGAUCGCAAGAUUAAAACUCAAAGGAAUUGACGG
This 410-nucleotide ribosomal RNA is filed under the name uncultured bacterium. RNAcentral's name for it is "bacterial SSU rRNA". It matches the Rfam family "Bacterial small subunit ribosomal RNA", at positions 505 to 916 of the family's 1533-position model. The record is from RNAcentral.